CGAAAUUCCUUGUCGGGUAAGUUCCGACCUGCACGAAUGGCGUAAUGAUGGCCACACUGUCUCCUCCAGAGACUCAGCGAAGUUGAAAUGUUUGUGAUGAUGCAAUCUCCCCGCGGAAAGACGGAAAGACCCCAUGAACCUUUACUGUAGCUUUACAUUGGACUUUGAACAGAUCUGUGUAGGAUAGGUGGGAGGCUUUGAAGCGGUGCCGCUAGGUGUCGUGGAGCCAACGUUGAAAUACCACCCUGGUGUGUUUGAGGUUCUAACCUUGACCCGUUAUCCGGGUUGGGGACAGUGUAUGGUGGGCAGUUUGACUGGGGCGGUCUCCUCCCAAAAGUGUAACGGAGGAGUUCGAAGGUACGCUAGGCACGGUCGGAAAAUCGUGCUGAUAGUGCAUAGGCAUAAAGCGUGCUUGACUGCGAGACG
This 426-nucleotide ribosomal RNA is filed under the name uncultured bacterium. RNAcentral describes it as "bacterial LSU rRNA". It matches the Rfam family "Bacterial large subunit ribosomal RNA", at positions 1960 to 2382 of the family's 2925-position model. The record is from RNAcentral.